Molecule: long non-coding RNA, 420 nt
Organism: Rhipicephalus microplus (southern cattle tick)
Lineage: Eukaryota; Metazoa; Arthropoda; Arachnida; Ixodida; Ixodidae
Source: RefSeq, a predicted model, not a curated record
UCGGCCGACGGCGCGCUGCGCAACAAGCGGCUGAUCUGCAUCUACUUCGCGGCGCAGUGGUGCCCACCGUGUCGCGUGUUCACGCCGAUAUUGGCCAACGCGUACCGCAGGGCCAAAGACGAAGGGCUGCCGAUCGAGGUGGUGUUUGUGUCGUCGGACCGAAACGCUAACGACAUGAGCGCUUACGUGAAGAGCGACCACGAAGACUGGCCUGCGCUUCCUUACGGAGACGCGCUGCAGGCCGGUCUCAGGGCCCGGUACAAGGUGGCCGGCAUACCUACACUGGUGGUGGUCAAGGCGGACGGGGCACUCGUGAGCACCAACGGCAGGCCCGACGUCCAGACCAAGGGCUACAAGGCGUUCAAGGACUGGCUUAGCUGCAUAUGAACCUGCAAGGGAGCCCGACGGAAGGCGUCGCCA